RNAcentral lists this ribosomal RNA (265 nucleotides) under uncultured Sphingobacteriales bacterium. Its description in RNAcentral is "partial 16S ribosomal RNA". It matches the Rfam family "Bacterial small subunit ribosomal RNA", at positions 1120 to 1382 of the family's 1533-position model. The record is from RNAcentral. Lineage: Bacteria; Pseudomonadati; Bacteroidota; Sphingobacteriia; Sphingobacteriales.
AUCAGGUUAAGCUGGGGACUCUAAGGAACUGCCUACGCAAGUAGUGAGGAAGGCGGGGAUGGACGUCAAAUCAAGCACGGCCCUUACGUCCAGGGCUACGACACGUGCUACAAUGGCCGAUACAGAGGGCAGCUACCUGGUGACAGGAUGCAAAUCUCCAAAGUCGGUCUCAGUUCGGAUCGGAGUCUGCAACCCGACUCCGUGAAGUUGGAUUCGCUAGUAAUCGCGCAUCAGCCAUGGCGCGGUGAAUACGUUCCCGGGCCUU